AGUGCACCUCAGCCUUUUUUGGCUAAGAUCAAGUGUAGUAUCUGUUCUUAUCAGUGGUAAGUUCAGUUAUACUGGAUUUGAUAUACAAAGUGCUUAGCAAAUAACCCACAUUAGCCUGCUUUUCUCCAGACUAAUGCUUUCCAAAUAUGUUGGAUUUCCAAUCAUAUCAACUGCAUCUAAUGCCAU
Molecule: small nuclear RNA, 186 nt
Organism: Python bivittatus (Burmese python)
Lineage: Eukaryota; Metazoa; Chordata; Lepidosauria; Squamata; Pythonidae
Product: U2 spliceosomal RNA
Source: RefSeq, a predicted model, not a curated record